This 662-nucleotide ribosomal RNA is filed under the name uncultured cyanobacterium. RNAcentral's name for it is "bacterial SSU rRNA". It matches the Rfam family "Bacterial small subunit ribosomal RNA", at positions 99 to 795 of the family's 1533-position model. The record is from RNAcentral. Lineage: Bacteria; Bacillati; Cyanobacteriota.
CGGACGGGUGAGUAACGCGUGAGAAUCUGCCUUCAGGUCUGGGAUAACAGCUGGAAACGGCUGCUAAUACCGGAUGAGCCGAGAGGUAAAAGCAAAAGUGCCUGAAGAUGAGCUCGCGUCUGAUUAGCUAGUUGGUGGGGUAAGAGCCUACCAAGGCGACGAUCAGUAGCUGGUCUGAGAGGAUGAUCAGCCACACUGGGACUGAGACACGGCCCAGACUCCUACGGGAGGCAGCAGUGGGGAAUUUUCCGCAAUGGGCGCAAGCCUGACGGAGCAAGACCGCGUGCGGGAGGACGGCCUAUUGGUUGUAAACCGCUUUUGAUAGGGAAGAAGUUCUGACGGUACCUAUCGAAUCAGCAUCGGCUAACUCCGUGCCAGCAGCCGCGGUAAUACGGAGGAUGCAAGCGUUAUCCGGAAUUAUUGGGCGUAAAGCGUCCGUAGGUGGUUGUUCAAGUCUGCUGUUAAAGCGUGCGGCUUAACCGCAUACCAGCAGUGGAAACUGGGCGACUAGAGUGCGGUAGGGGUCAGGGGAAUUCCCAGUGUAGCGGUGAAAUGCGUAGAUAUUGGGAAGAACACCGGUGGCGAAAGCGCCUGACUGGACCUGCACUGACACUGAGGGACGAAAGCUAGGGGAGCGAAAGGGAUUAGAUACCCCUGUAGUC